AAUGGGGGCUGGAGGGGAGCGCGGAUGCGGCUCCCGGGGUUUUUUUCCCCUUUUUUUUUAUGAAUGAAGGGCAGCGGCAGCUGCGCAUGCACCGCGCCCCCCGCCCGGGGCUGGAGGCACUCAUCCGCUUCCAGCCGUUCUGCUCGCGGGAAGAUAAAUGGAGGGGAGGAAUCCUGGGCAUGGCUGCACGGGAGCGGGCUCACAACGCACUGGGUGAUGCACAACAGCUUUUCCAGGCACGUUUCUCCCCCUCCCUCCACGAAUUUUAUUUCUGUAUGAAGUCUCCUCUGAUAAAUAUCCCCAACAGUGAUUUCAGACAAACACCCUAAAAUGGCUACAUCAGUGUUCCUCCUGCAGAGCAGUCAGAAGAGACACUCACAAAUAUACCCAGGAAAUGCACCUUGCUCUUCUCUUCCUGUCUUCUACUGUGGGACCGUCAUUUUAUCCACGUGUGGGAAUUUCCAUUACUGCUGGGGGAAAGGGACUUCUCCUCCUGAGUGAAGACUGGGAUCUGACUUGAAGCAAGACAAGAGAAGCAAAGCCUCUGUGUGAACAUCACAGGUUCUGCUGAGACUCUGGUCCCCUGACAGCAGCAGGACGUUGAAGGAUUUGAGCUGAGAUCUCUGAGCAGCCACAGCCCCCUGCUCUGACCCCUCCUUUCCAGCCCAGACACAGCUCCCUCAGCCCCACAUUUCCUCCAGGUCUGUACAGAGAUUUCCUUCCAUGAAGAAAUGGGAUGAAAGUGAGAAAAGGAGAUUUUUUGUAGAGAUGAGCAUGAGCUUCAUCCUGGAGAAUCUGCAGAGUCCAGAAAACCAGUUUGGAAAACAGCCGGCGUCUGAUUGGAACCCACAGGAGGCGGGAAGGGAGCCCAGAUGCUGUGCCAAAACCUGAAGGCAUCACCAGACCAAUCAAAGAAGGAUGCUGUGGAGGUUGGAGGCUGGGAAGUGACAAGUGCUGUCACAGAAGUGCCAUCACAGAUGUGACAUCAGGAAAUGCCACAGGUGGGGGCCAGAGUCCCACGGAUGUUCCAGGACUGAGUUGUGCUACUGGUACGUUGGGAUGGAGCCAGUACCACGCUGUGUGGGUUUGCUGUGGUGCCCUGGGAGAGACUGAGGGUGGCAGCUCUGCAGCACACACACUCACACACGUGUGCAUACACAGGGAAUCUCUAAACACUCGGCUCUGAACUCUUUAGUAUUUAAAAAGCUCUGCAAAAGCAGCUGCAAGAAGGGGAAAUUACUCCUGGAAAUGGAUCCCAGAUGCCUGCAGAGAGUAAAAACCUCUGGAAGCUGGAUUGCUAAAGAUGGAUCCCUGGAGAUGAAGAGUGUGGCUGUUGGUGAGAGCACCCCCAGCCACUGCACCAGCUCUGCUUCGUGCACAGACUCCAGCCCAGGCUCUCAGAUGGCCCAUUUGACACAGACUGGGAUUUUGGGAAGUGCUUUGUGGAGUGACAGCGCAGGCCAGCCCCCACCUAUUGCCAUGAGGUUGGAGAUGCAGCCUCAGAAGCUCUGUGGCUCCUGGUGGUUUCCAGAGCAGGUGAUGCCAAAUACAGACUCCAAAUCUUUGUUUAACACCAUUAUCAGGUGAAAUUAUUUCGUGGAGUGUCUGGUCCCUACAUUCAUUUUUCUCUCAAGACACCAUACUUCUCAUGCAGUCGUUCAGCUUCCUUGCCAGCUGCCAGCCUUUCCCUGAAGGAAAGCCCCCAGUCCCCCAGGGUGGCACACGGGGCUCUGCUCCUCCACUGAGCUUUAAUCAACGUCAGCACUGGGUCAUUUCCUAGAACCAAAGCUUUUCUUGAACCUUUAUCUGAGGGUAAAAGGCACCCAGAAGUCUCCUGGGUUGAUGGUGGGUGGCAUUGAGAAGCAAACACCCCAGAUCCAAGGGCUCUGAGCAGGAUCUCAGCAAACUCUGCAGCCAGGAGUGAGGAGCAGCCUGGAUUCUACCACAGUCACCUCAGGGUCUGAGGGCAUCUCCAGACAGCUUGACCAGAGCAGCUCAACUGCAAACAGCUUCUUCAUCAUCACUGAUUUCCUCUAAAGUUAUUUUUGCUAUUUUUAGGAAGACUCCAGUGCUUGCCAGCUGCCCUGAGUGCCCCAGCAAAGCUCGUGAACACUUUUCCACUCCCCUUGUCUCCCCGUGCUAAAUACUAUUGCUGUUCUCAGACUUUAUGGCCAUGGAGUUGUUCCUCUACAAACACCACCACUCAUGGCCCUAGCAUUAUACUUCUGGCAGGAACAUGUUAGGUUUUUAUGGGAAUUAAAAAGCUCGAGUGAGAGAGAGAACCUGAACCAAAGACAACAUAAAGGGCCUUAUUUCUUUGGGUAGGAGCCCAACAAUGCUAUUAAAUAGCUCAAAGCAGAACAGAAAGCUCUCUCAAAUAUGCAAGGCUGAGAGACACCGCAGUCCAGUGGUUACUGGGUGCCCCAUGGAGAAAGGAAAAUAUUCCAAGAGGAGAUGGCUGUGAGGAGCAUGGCUGCUGCUGAGCUCUGACCCCUCUGGUCACACCAGGACUGGAUCUGGAGCCUGUUUGUCCACGAGCAGCUCUGUUUGUGGCCCCUCUCUCCUCCAGCUCUGUGCACAGAGAAAACCCCACGAGGAGGAUCCCUGGGAGCUGCAGCCAGGGCACCUGCUCCAGGACAGCCCCAGCUCCAUCUGCAGCCUGGGGAGCUGAGGGCACCCAGCUCUUCCUCCUGAGUGGAGAUGUCAGCACCCCAAAGGACCAGAAAUAAUGUCUGAAGGUAAAAAAAGCCUUAAGAAGUGAGUUAAACCCGAAAGUUCAUUUGAUCCAGGUCAUGCUGAGCCGUGGUGGCUGCGCUGUGCUGCUCCCUGCAGCUCUGAGGGAGAGGAGCCCAGGGCAGGGCUGCAAUAGCUGUGAAAUUCUGAGAAGUUUGGGGUCCGUUCCAAACUUUAUCACUGGCCAAACCAGUGGCUUUGAUGUGAAAUCCCAAACUCUGCAAGCAUCUGACUGUGAGCAUGGAGGGCUGGUUGUGCUGCCAAUAUCAGGCUGUGAGCUCUGAAAUAACAGCACACACUGGGAGCCGUGGAGGGAGGGAGGGAGGGGAACCUCUGCUCUCUGCCUUAGGGCUGUGCAGACUUCACCACACAGCACUUGUUUGCAUGACAGAGGUGGUGUUGAUGGAAAUG
Camarhynchus parvulus is the source of this 3144-nucleotide long non-coding RNA. RefSeq lists it as uncharacterized. The transcript is spliced from 9 exons. Lineage: Eukaryota; Metazoa; Chordata; Aves; Passeriformes; Thraupidae. The record is from RefSeq and is a predicted model, not a curated record.